RNAcentral lists this ribosomal RNA (647 nucleotides) under uncultured Coprinopsis. Its description in RNAcentral is "eukaryotic LSU rRNA". It matches the Rfam family "Eukaryotic large subunit ribosomal RNA", at positions 37 to 667 of the family's 3401-position model. The record is from RNAcentral. Lineage: Eukaryota; Fungi; Basidiomycota; Agaricomycetes; Agaricales; Psathyrellaceae.
GCCAUAUCAAUAAGCGGAGGAAAAGAAACUAACAAGGAUUCCCCUAGUAACUGCGAGUGAAGCGGGAAAAGCUCAAAUUUAAAAUCUGGCAGUCUUUGGCUGUCCGAGUUGUAAACUAGAGAAGUGUUACCCGCGUCGGACCGUGUACAAGUCUCCUGGAAUGGAGCAUCAUAGAGGGUGAGAAUCCCGUCUUUGACAUGGACUACCGAGGCUUUUGUGGUGCGCUCUCAACGAGUCGAGUUGUUUGGGAAUGCAGCUCAAAAUGGGUGGUAAAUUCCAUCUAAAGCUAAAUAUUGGCGAGAGACCGAUAGCGAACAAGUACCGUGAGGGAAAGAUGAAAAGAACUUUGGAAAGAGAGUUAAACAGUACGUGAAAUUGCUGAAAGGGAAACGCUUGAAGUCAGUCGCGUUGGCCGGAAAUCAACCCUGCUUCUGUUGGGUGUACUUUCUGGUUGACGGGCCAGCAUCAGUUUUGACCGGUGGAAAAAGUCCAAGGGAAUGUGGCAUCUCCGGAUGUGUUAUAGCCCUUGGUCGUAUACAUCGGUUGGGACUGAGGAAUUCAGCACGCCGCAAGGCCGGGUUUCGACCACGUUCGUGCUUAGGAUGCUGGCAUAAUGGCUUUAAUCGACCCGUCUUGAAACACGGACC